CUUUUUAUCCGCAAAUUUCACCAAAAUUUCCCCACUAAAACCCUUAAUUUUUUCCCCUAAAAUCAGUAUCCUCAAAACUCCCCCAAUCUCAUCCCUCCGUUGCCUUUUUCAAUAAAGAAACUCUCCAACAGCAGCGUCUCCAAGCUCUUAUCGAAGGUGUCCACGAUUACUCUGGCUCCACUGUACUUGGAUGGGGUGAUUGGUAUUACACGGGUGAAGAAGAUAAAGGGAAAAGGAAGUUGAAAACUUUGUCUGCAGUUGCAGAGUAAUUCCUUGUGGAAAGAAGGAAUUUAUUGCAGAAUUUCAUCCAGUAUUCUAUGCACAGAUCUUCAAAAUCUGAGAGAAGAAAUUCAAUCCAAAAAAAGAAAAAAAAACCCCAAAAGAUGAGGAUUAAUGGGAGUUGAGAGUUGAUUUUUUAUUAAUUUUUUCAAGUGAUAUUGUUAUAUAGUAAAAAAAAGAUGAAUUCACAAAAUCAAGUGGAGUCAACUCUCAAGGAAAUACUUGAAGUGGUCAAGCCGUUGCAUGAAGACUGGGUUACUCGGUUUAAGAUCAUCAAUGAACUGCGUGAAGUCGUUCAAUCUAUCGAAAAUUUAAGAGGUGAGAAGCUGCCCAUUGUGAUAUUGAGAGCUGAGCUUGACCAUUUGGCUUCCCCAGCAGUUUUAAAACAGUUUGAUGACAUCUUAAGUGCAAGAUUUAAAGCUAGCUUUAUCACUCUUAUCAAUCACUUACCAACUCCUUGAUCACCAUGUUUGCCAAAGGUGUAUAUUUGGCUUUCUAUUCUAGUGUUUUGGAUUCUCUGGCGGUUGAAUUGAAAGCAUCAAAGGACUUCUCUAAGUUAUAUGCAGGCAUUGCAAUACUUUGGCUUUAUCUAAUCUUGAACCAGCCCUUUGUUGUAUAUUGUUUCUUCUUCUUUUCUGAUCUUUAUCCUUUGAUUAAUGAGAGGUGAUGAUGAUUUGGCAUUCUUUUCUCACCGGGAUGAAUAUUGUUUUAGAAAUAGUAAUACUUUGUGAGUGUGUCUGUGUGUGUUUUUUUAUGUAUUAAAUUACAUAUUGAAUCAAUGUUUAUGUAUUAAAUUUAAAUUUAUAAA
This is a long non-coding RNA of Gossypium arboreum, 1087 nucleotides long. RefSeq lists it as uncharacterized. Lineage: Eukaryota; Viridiplantae; Streptophyta; Magnoliopsida; Malvales; Malvaceae. The transcript is spliced from 6 exons. The record is from RefSeq and is a predicted model, not a curated record.